GGAAAAGAAACCAACAGGGAUUGCCCUAGUAACGGCGAGUGAAGCGGCAUCAGCUCAAAUUUGAAAUCUGGCUCUUUUAGGGUCCGAGUUGUAAUUUGCAGAGGGCGCUUUGGCGUUGGCAGCGGUCCAAGUUCCUUGGAACAGGACGUCACAGAGGGUGAGAAUCCCGUACGUGGUCGCUGGCCUUCGCCGUGUAAAGCCCCUUCGACGAGUCGAGUUGUUUGGGAAUGCAGCUCUAAAUGGGAGGUAAAUUUCUUCUAAAGCUAAAUACUGGCCAGAGACCGAUAGCGCACAAGUAGAGUGAUCGAAAGAUGAAAAGCACUUUGGAAAGAGAGUCAAAUAGCACGUGAAAUUGUUGAAAGGGAAGCGCUUGCAGCCAGACUUGCCUGUAGUUGCUCAUCCGGGCUUUUGCCCGGUGCACUCUUCUGCGGGCAGGCCAGCAUCAGUCUAGGCGGUUGGAUAAAGGCCUCUGUCAUGUACCUCCCUUCGGGGAGGCCUUAUAGGGGAGGCGUAAUGCAACCAGCUUGGACUGAGGUCCGCGCAUUUGCUAGGAUGCUGGCGUAAUGGCUGUAAGCGGCCCGUCUUGAAACACGGACCAAGGAGUCUAACAUCUAUGCGAGUGUUUGGGUGUCAAGCCCGAACGCGUAAUGAAAGUGAACGGAGGUGGGAUCCCUUUAGGGUGCACCAUCGACCGAUCCUGAUGUCUUCGGAUGGAUUUGAGUAAGAGCAUGGCUGUUGGGACCCGAAAGAUGGUGAACUAUGCUUGAAUAGGGUGAAGCCAGAGGAAACUCUGGUGGAGGCUCGCAGCGGUUCUGACGUGCAAAUCGAUCGUCAAAUUUGGGCAUAGGGGCGAAAGACUAAUCGAACUAUCUAGUAGCUGGUUCCUGCCGAAGUUUCCC
RNAcentral lists this ribosomal RNA (899 nucleotides) under Fenestella fenestrata. RNAcentral's name for it is "eukaryotic LSU rRNA". It matches the Rfam family "Eukaryotic large subunit ribosomal RNA", at positions 55 to 972 of the family's 3401-position model. The record is from RNAcentral. Lineage: Eukaryota; Fungi; Ascomycota; Dothideomycetes; Pleosporales; Cucurbitariaceae.